AUGCAAAGACCUGAUGGUGGUGGAACAUUAUGUCAAGCCAGGGUCCAGCUUUUGGUAAACCACUUCAUAGUCAAGUACUCAAAGCUGUCAACCUUUUUUCACUAUGACAUAGAUAUCAAGUUUGAUCCAGCGCCUUCAAAGGUUUCUGGCAAGGAGCUCUCCAAUGCAGAUUUUCUUUCUGCAAAGGCCGAGCUUUUCAAGGAUGACAGCUUUCGGCAGCUUUCAUCGGCUGUUGCUUAUUAUGGAAAGAGAAACCUAUUUACUGUUGCACAACUGCCAGAAGGUUUAUUCCGUGUCAGAGUUUGUUCAAAGACCUACAUUGUAUCAGUAGAGUUCAAGAAGCAGCUUCCUCUAAGCCAAUUCUCGGAGCUGCCUGUGGCUAGGGAGAUCUUACAGGGUCUUGAUGUCAUUGUGCGUGAGGCUUCUAGCUGGAGCAAGAUUAUACUUGGUCAUGGAUUUUACUCACCACAAAGCAAAGCGGAUAUGGGGUCAGGUGUUGUAUCUAUGAAAGGAACCCAGCAGACCCUUAAACACACUCAGCAGGGACUGGUCCUAUGUGUCGACUAUUCAGUUAUGCCAUUUCGCAGAGAUGGACCUGUUCUGGAUAUUGUGCGGCAGUUUAUAAAGCCCCUUCCCCUUGACUACAGGACAACACUAAUUUUUUUAUUAAUAUAG
RNAcentral lists this ribosomal RNA (675 nucleotides) under Triticum aestivum (bread wheat). RNAcentral's name for it is "partial small subunit ribosomal RNA". The record is from RNAcentral. Lineage: Eukaryota; Viridiplantae; Streptophyta; Magnoliopsida; Poales; Poaceae.